AAGCUAAAUUAAAAAAGCACAAAAAUUCUCUAUUUUCCUAAAUAAUCAUGAAAUGUGGUAUGUAUACUAGUUAUAAUUAAAUAGCUAAAUCGGUCAAAAAUUGCAAAUUAAAGUAUUAUAUGUUUUUAUUUUUAAUAGAGAAAUUAAAGUAACAAAAAACCUAAAAUUCUAUAUUUCUAUUUUUUCUAAACAAGCUAAAUUAAAAAAGCACAAAAAUUCUCUAUUUUCUUAAAUAAUCAUGAAAUGUGGUAUGUAUACUAGUUAUAAUUAACUAACUAAAUCGGUCAAAAAUUGCAAAUUAAAGCAUUAUAUGAUUUUAUUUUUUCUAAACUAAUUAAAAUAAAAAACAUAUUACCACUAUUUCUCUAACAAAACGUGUCGCUUUUGAAAUGGCGAUGAAGCUAAUAACCUCUUAAAAAAACCAUAAAAUAAAAAAUAAUAUACAUAACACUAGGAAAUGACAUACGCCGCUUCUAAAUGUUGAGAAGAUGAAGCUAGUGACCUCUUAACAAGUCGAUGACGGUGUAGAAACGAUGAAAUGAAUCAAUAGCCGGAGAUGAGAGCAAGCUAGAACAAGCAACUCCA
Molecule: long non-coding RNA, 585 nt
Filed under: Sorghum bicolor (sorghum)
Lineage: Eukaryota; Viridiplantae; Streptophyta; Magnoliopsida; Poales; Poaceae
Description: long non-coding RNA (SBIC_LNC015723)
Source: RNAcentral